RNAcentral lists this unclassified non-coding RNA (1089 nucleotides) under Hevea brasiliensis (rubber tree). The record is from RNAcentral. Lineage: Eukaryota; Viridiplantae; Streptophyta; Magnoliopsida; Malpighiales; Euphorbiaceae.
UUUGAUAUACGAAUUCAUAGAAAGAGGAAGUUUGAGAACAAUUUUAAGCAACGAAGAAGAAGCAGUGGAGUUAGAUUGGAGUAAGAGGCUAAAUAUUGUUAAAGGAAUAGCAAAUGCUUUGUCUUACAUGCACCAUGACUGCUCUCCGCCAAUUAUCCACCGAGACAUUUCCAGUAACAAUAUUUUGUUGGAUUCAGAGUUUGAGGCCCAUGUCUCUGAUUUUGGCAUAGCUAGGCUAUUGAUGCCUGACUCCUCAAAUUGGACAUCAUUUGCGGGCACGGUCGGGUACACAGCACCAGGUGUAUAUCUUAAUUUUAUUUACUAUUAUUAUUAUUACUAUGUCUAUUAGGUUAUUAGUUAUUCUUUCUUGGUAUGUUUUUCUUUUUUGGAUCAUCUAAAAAUCGAUUGACUCCGUACAAUUUUUUUUUUUUUAAGAGUUGGCAUACACAAUGGCAGUCAAUGAAAAAUGCGACAUCUAUAGCUUUGGUGUGGUCACACUCGAAAUACUAAUGGGAAAACAUCCAGGAGAUGUUGUCUCAUCUCUUUCAUCUUCAACUCCACCAAUGGACCAACAAACACUUAUGAAAGAUGUGAUUGAUCAAUGCCUGCCAACUCCUAAAAAUAAAGAUGCUGAAGGAGUGAUCCAUGUUGCAAAACUAGCACUUGGAUGCCUAAGUACAAAUCCUCAAUCUCGACCAACCAUGACACAAGUUUCUUCAAAGUUGAUGAUGGCCCAGUGGCAUCCAUUAACAAAGGUAUUCUCGUAAAUAAAAUUGGGAGAAAUUUUGGUCCACGAUGGGUUCAGUGCCUAAGCAAUUCUGGGAAAUUAAGAUCUUUGUACUUUUUUUUUUCCUCUCCAAACCUUGUAUAAUAUAUUUGGUUGGAGCAAAAAUGAAGUGUCAAUUUCAACUUUUUAAUAGACCUGAUCUUGACGUGGGUAGUUGUAAAUUUUAAAUCACAAUCACAAUUAUAGUCCUAGUAACCUUUGCUAUUGCAGAAGUUAGACUUUAAUUUUAAUUUCCUUAGUCUUGGGCUAAGUCUUGCCUUAUUCUGUAUGUAACUUCGAAUUUUUCAUCAAGAGAAACCAAG